UGAUCCUGGCUCAGAACGAACGCUGGCGGCAGGCCUAACACAUGCAAGUCGAGCGAGAUCUUCGGAUCUAGCGGCGGACGGGUGAGUAACGCGUGGGAAUAUGCCCUUCUCUACGGAAUAGCCUCGGGAAACUGGGAGUAAUACCGUAUACGCCCUUAGGGGGAAAGAUUUAUCGGAGAAGGAUUAGCCCGCGUUGGAUUAGGUAGUUGGUGGGGUAAUGGCCUACCAAGCCGACGAUCCAUAGCUGGUUUGAGAGGAUGAUCAGCCACACUGGGACUGAGACACGGCCCAGACUCCUACGGGAGGCAGCAGUGGGGAAUCUUAGACAAUGGGGGCAACCCUGAUCUAGCCAUGCCGCGUGAGUGA
RNAcentral lists this ribosomal RNA (366 nucleotides) under Paracoccus sp. R-26888. Its description in RNAcentral is "bacterial SSU rRNA". It matches the Rfam family "Bacterial small subunit ribosomal RNA", at positions 14 to 408 of the family's 1533-position model. Lineage: Bacteria; Pseudomonadati; Pseudomonadota; Alphaproteobacteria; Rhodobacterales; Paracoccaceae. The record is from RNAcentral.